This 7119-nucleotide long non-coding RNA is filed under the name Erythranthe guttata (spotted monkey flower). RNAcentral describes it as "long non-coding RNA (EGUT_LNC001814)". The record is from RNAcentral. Lineage: Eukaryota; Viridiplantae; Streptophyta; Magnoliopsida; Lamiales; Phrymaceae.
GAUAAUAGCAAGAAUGGUUGCCUGGACUAGUUCUGGAAAAAUGAGAAAGAGUAAAAGGGGGGUUUAGCCUUGUUAAUGUUUGCAUUUGUAUGAGGAAGGAGGGGUUUGCAGAAGAAAACUACGUACUGCAGCCUUACAGUAAAGGUAAGAACAGGUCUCGCACUUUCCAAAAGAUAGUGAACAUCACCGAACAUUUUUUUGGCUUAGAUCCAAGUUCCAAUUAUACAGAUUAACUAAUUAAUACAUAAAUAUUCCAUCAAAAUGACUACUGACAUUUACACCUUUGAAAGAUCAUAGAAUGGCAUGUAUAUUUCAGGAAAGCUAACAAAACCAUUGUCUCCUCGAGUGGAAAUUUAGUUUGAUAGGCAGAAGCCCAUGAAGACUGAUAUGCACAAUCACAAUCACAAUCACAAUCAACAAUCACAAUCACAAUGAAUUCAGCUUCUUUUUUUAGCGGGGACUGUAAAGAAGAUGAAAUGCACACUGGAACUGCAAUCGAUGGAGAGAAUAUCAAAUGAAGUAUGCAAAGUGUCAAAUGAAGCAUUAAGCCUGCAAGGUCCUGCAGAUUGGACACUUAGCCUUGAUGGUUAGCCACCGAUCUAUACAUUCAGCAUGGAAACAAUGUUGGCAUUCAGGUAGGAACAUUAUUGUGUCCUUUGGAACAUAAUCUGCUAGGCAUAUUGCACAGGUUACACCAUUCGGUCCUUCAACCCGACGACUUUCACCAAUUGUGACCUUUUUGUAGGUUUCAAUGGUGGAUAGCCCUGGUGUCACCGUGUUUGAUAAACCAGCUGUUCCGGAAGUUUGGUCUGAACCACUGUCCCGAGGAUUGCCGCAUAACAUCAUGCAUAUGCAGCACGAUGUGCCUAUUAUCACUACCGGUACAAUCAGGGCUCCUAUGAGCAAUGACGAGGAAACGUUUCUAGAAACAGUUUCUUUACUUUCUGCACCUGCAUUUAUUUUAGCAAUGAAGGAAGUGGGAAAUAGAGCAGAAGUAUCCUUGGUUGACCGUGUUAGUAUAUGAUAAUAUAAAGUUUAGUUGACAUUGGCUUUGUCAAAUGUGUUUAUUAUAUUGCUCUUGCUGAAUAUAUUAGCAUUCCUCGUCAUAUAUUCGUAGUUAAUCUUUAUUCUGCAUUUGUGCUGUCAUCAUCAAGAAUACUUUGAUUCAAUUACUGUGACAGAUACUUUUAAUCUCAACCGAAAGCCUCAUGAAUAAUGAUCACGAUAAAUGGUAUGUGAAAUGCAAAUUAGUAGAAGAUCCUUACCCGUUGGAGUUGCAGGGACAUCAUCCCAUCUUAGAACCAAAUUGACUGGAAACGUAUACCCGUACAAAUAUGAAACUGGUAUUGGUACCGUGACCAUUUUCUUGCAAUUGGGUAAUAUCACUGCAGCUACCUCAUUCUUUAUAACCGAGAUAUCGGUGGUGGCGUUGCUGAGGCAAUGAACAAUAUAUAUAUCAUUAAUACCCAGGCCUUUAGGACAGCUGUGAUAGGUGUAAUUCUGAUAGGAAACAGCCAUGAACGGAGAAUACGAAAGAUUCGAGCUCAAAAAUUUCCUCGGGAGGCAAUUAUCGGGAUCGCUGAGCGUAAUUCUGUUAAGAUUGUAGUUGAUAUAACUUACAUAAAAAUCUCCAGCACGAGGAAUGUUUAAGAUUGCUUUACUCUGGUCAUUGCAACUUAGGUUGAACCCAAUUGGUUGACAGUUUGAGGGCAGUUGCCGACCUUGUAACCAGAAUGGGAACCUUAUGGCCUGGCUAUUGUUGUUACAGUAGGAAGGUGGACAAUUGUUUUGAGCAUGCACUAUAGAGAGGAAAAGGAAAACGAAAACGAAGAAGUUACGAAUAGCCAUAUGCCUAAUUGCCUAUGCUCCUUGGUUUAAAUUGGAGAAGAAAAAUAUAUGUUCUGAUUUUUAUAUAAGUUUCGAAAGUCAACUAAUCAGUUUCGGGGAGAUGCAUGCAAUGAUGGACUGUUCAACAAGAUUGUAGCUUGUACAAGUAUCCUUCUGCUGUUCUUUUCUUGAACAAAUCUACCUUAAAACAAGAUUGAACAAGUAAUCUAUAUAUAUAUAUAUAUAUAUAUAUAUAUAUAUAUAUAUAUAUAUAUAUAUAUAUAUAUAUAUAUAUAUAUAUAUAUAUAUUAAGUAUUUAGAAAGAGAACUUCUACAGACUGGACAAGUCGUAUUUUUCUGUAGCUACCGAUCUAUACAUUCAGCAUGAAAACAGAGUGACCACUAACUCUGUACAUUUCUUGACCUUGUAAGAAUUCUCAGUCCUGUUGGUGGCUCUUGCCGGAUCUGUAGGUAAAUCUCUGGUGGUCUGUGGUGGGCUAGGGUGGUGUGUGUCAGUGUGUGGUGGAGAAUUAUGUUCCAGUGGCAUCUGUUGUCGUGUUGUUGACCAGACAUAUUCGCCGUAGCAUAAGUUUCUGUAUUGCUUGUACAGUUUAAGUUUGAUUGUUGUCUUGUUGAUUUUUUUUUGAUCUUUUCUAGUUAUUUUUUCCGUUUACACUUUACGAGGUGGUGGCAAGAAUGCCACUUGUACUGCAGCUCGACAUAAAGGUAAAAAGAGGUCUCAUGCUUUCUAAAAGUACUAACUUCUUAUUCUCUAUGGACUGUGUAAAGAUGAUGAAAUGAACACUGGAACUGCAAUAUAUGAUAAAAUGAACUAUGUGCAAGUCAGUAUUAAGCCUGCGUGGUCCUGCAGAUGGGACACUUAGCCUUCAUGGUUAACCACUGAUCUAUACAUUCGACAUGGAAAUAAUGUUGGCAUUCAGGCAUGAGCCUUAUUGUGUCCUCUGGGUCAUAGUCUUCCAGGCAUAUUUUGCAGGUUACAUCAAUAGGUCCUUCGACCCAAUUUUGAUCCUUUUGUAGGCUUCGAUGGUGGAUAUGCCUAGCCCUGGUGUCACCGUGUCUGAUAAACCAGCUCGGUCGGAAGUUUGGUUUGAACCGCUGCCCCGAGUGUCCUCACGUCUCAUGAUGCGUAUGCAGCAGGUUAUGCCAACUAUCGCUGCUGGUAGUCAGGGCAGGUAUUACUAAUGACAAGGCAAUGAUUCGAGAAACAGAUCUUUUAUUUUCUACACCUGCAAUGACAGGUAUUCAUAUUUAAUCUGUAUUCUGCAUUUGCACUGUCAUCAUCAAGAAUUUUUUUUUUUCCAAUUAGAGUAUCGAUCAAAAGCCUCAUGAAUCAUGAUCAGGGUAAAUGGUAUGUGAAAUGGAAGUUAGCUAAGAUCCGUAGCGGUCGGAGGUACUUUCCAUGUUAACUCUAGAUCUACUGGAAACCGAGAUAUAUAAGAAGAUGAAACUGGGAGUGGUAAUGUGACAAUUAUCUUGCACUUUGUGAACAACCAUACAUCUGUUUCGUAGUUUGCAGCCACAAUAUCUGUUGUUGUGUUGCUGAGACAGUCCACGACAUACCUAGAACUUGCCAGGCCUUUAGGACAGCUAAGGAAGGUGUAGCUCUGAUAGUAAACAGCCAUGAAUGGAGAAGAUGAAAGAUUCAAGUUCAAAAGUCUCCGUGGGAGGCAAUUACCAGGAUCACUUAGGGAAACUCUUUUACUGUAGUAGUCGAUAGAAGUUGCAUUAAAAUUUCCAGAAUAAGGAAUGUUUAAAAUUGUUUUUUUCUGCCCCCCGCAACGUAUAUUAAACAUAUGGCUGACAGUUUUGGGUGAGUUGCUGACCUUGUAACCAGAAGGGGAACUUUAUGUACAGGCCAUUCUUGUCACAGUACGAAGCCGGACAAUAGUCCUGACCAUGCACUAGAGAGAGGAAAAGGAAAAUGAAAAAUUUAUGAAUGCCUCUGCUCCUUUGUUUAGAUUAGAGAAGAAACAGAUGUUUGGAAAGGCUUAUAGUUUCCAAAGUCAAAUAGUAGAUUUCAGGGGAAUCAAUGGCCUAUUCAACAAGAGUCUAGCUUGUGACAAUCUCCUUCUGAUGUUAUUUUUCUCAACAAAUCUACCGUAAUAUAAGAAUCUGAAAAUGUUGUAGCAGAGUAUUAAAACAAGUAUAUAUAUAUAUAUAUAUAUAUAUAUAUAUAUAUAUAUAUAUAUAUAUAUAUAUAUAUAUAUAUCCAUAGUAUGUAGAAAGAGAGCAUAUAAGUAACAAUGAGCAAUUGAACCUGACUAACGAUGCUUCCGAGAAAUUUGUUUGCCGGGAAAUGAAUUGCCUACUGCACCUGACUACUUUUUUUUUUCUUUUUUGAGGAAGCACCUGACUAACUUGGUUCAUACUUUUGAGCCAAUUUUACCAUAUGUGAAUAGAGUGUCUUUUUUUGAUUCUACUGAAAACACCUUGAAUUUAUGCCGUUCUAGACAAACGUACGUCAUAUUUCUAGUUAAUCUGCUGAAGCUUUUGAAAUGCAAUAUGAUGUACGAUAUUCCCCCUCAACGGUUUUUUGAGAAAACAUAGUACAGUUGACAUUGAAUGCUAUCUGGUUGAUUUUGGUUUUGAUAGCAAAGAUGAAUGUCUAAACUAGCUUUGAGGAAACGCUUGUAGUAAGACUGGGGUUUAGCCUUGUAAUGUUCACACUAGUACGAAGAAAGAAGGGUUUGCAGAAGAAUGCUACUCUUAUUGCAGCUUUACAGUAAAGGUAAGAACAUGUCUCGUGCUUUCCAAGAGAUGCUAUGCAUUAAUUUAUUUAUUUUUCACUUCCAACUAUACAGAUUAACUGAAUUAUACAUUCAGGUCUAAAUAAAGCAAUUAUUUAUACAUCAAAGUAACUAAACAGAUCGUCUCCUGAGGGCCAAUCUAGAUUGAUGGGGAGAAUCCCAUGAAGACUGAUAUGAACACUAGAACUGCAAUCGAUGGAGAGAAAAUCGAGCGAAGUCUGGAAAGCGUAAAAUGCAGUAUUAAGCCUGUGAGGCCCUGCAGAUUGGACACUUAGCCCUGAUGCUUAACCACUGAUCUAUACAUUCGACAUGGAAACAAUGUUGGCAUUCAGGCAUGACCCUUAUUGUAUCAUGUGGAACAUAAUCUACGAGGCAUAUUGCGCAGGUUAUAUCAUUAGGUCCUUCAAUCCGACGACUUUCACCAAUUGUGAUCUUUUUGUAGGUUUCGAUUGUGGAUAUGCCCAGCCCUGGUGUCACUGUGUCUGAUGAACUAGCUAUUCCGGAAGUUUGGUUUGAACCACUGUCCUGAAGGUUGUUGCGUCUCAUCAUGCAUAUGCAGCAUGAUAUGAUGAUUAUCACUACCGGAAUAACCAUGGAUGCUAUGACAAAUGACAAGGCAACGGUUCUAGAAACAGGUCGUUUAUUUUCUGUACCUGCAAAUUUUAGUUUAGUAUGGAAGGAUGGUAUUAGCUAGUGAAAGGCUUAUGCCAACCAAGAUUUAUUAUGAUAUUUUGCACAUUAAUCUUAACCGAAGUCAAGGAAAAAAAAAAAAAAAGGAAAACAAUCACGCGUUUUUAAACGAAAGGUGGAAAUAGAGCAGAAGUAUUCUUAGCUGACCAUGCCAGUAUGAUUGAUUAUACAAAGUUUAGUUGACAUUAUCUUUGUCAAUUAUGAUUAUUAUAUUGCUGUUACAGAUAAACAUAAUCUUCAUCAUAUAUUCAUAGAAUUCCUUGAUUCAAUUAAAGUAACAUAAUGGAUAAAAAGUUUGCUAAACGGAAACUAGUAAAGAUUCUUACCAAUGGCAGAGGUGAUCCAUGUUAGCUCGAGAUUGACUGGAAGCCCGUAAGGAGAUGAAAUUGGAAGUGUUGAUGUGAAAAGUUGCUCGCACUUGGUAGGUAUCGUCUGACCUGCUUCGUAAUUUAUAGCCGCCAUAUCUGUGGUUGUGUCGCUGAGGCAAUUUACGACAUAUCUAGAAUUAAUCGAACCUUUUGGACAGCUAAGGAAGAUGUAAGUCCGAUAGGAAACAGCUCUGAAUGGAGAAGAUGAAAGAUUCAAGCUCAAUAGUCUCCUCGGGAUGCAAUUAUCGGGAUCACUGAGGACAACGCGUUUAAUGUCGUAGUAUAUAGAACUUACAUAAAAAUCUCCAGAAUAAGGGAUGUUUACGAUUGCAUUUUUCUCGCCAAUGCAACUUAAAUUAAACCCACUAAGUCCGCAAGUUUGGGGUUGCUUACCUUGUAACCAGAAGGGGAACUGUAUGGCCAAGCCAUUUCCGCCACAGGAGGAACGUAGACAGUUGUUCUGGGCGUGCACUAGAGAGAGGAAAAGGAAAACGCAAAAAAAUUGAAUGGCCAUAUGCCUCUGCUCCUUACUUUAAACUGGAGAAGAGAAAAAUAUGCUUCAAGUUUUAUACUAGUUUCCAAAGUCAACUAAUAGGUUUCAGGGAGAUGCAAUGGCCUGGUCAACAAGAUUGUAGUUUGUACAAGUCUCCUUCUGCUGUUUCUUUUCUUGGACAAAUCUAUCCUCACAUAAGAAUCUGGAAAUGUUGUAGCAAAAUUACUAAGUAAUAAUUUUAGUAAUUAGACAGAGAUUCUACAAACUCGGCAUAUUCUUUUGAGCAAAGUGAACGAUACGUGAAAUAGGGUGUUAUUUAUGCCACUCUAGAAAAUGCGCUUCGUCAUUUUUAGUUAAUCUGCUGAAUCAUUUGAUGCACUUCGAUAUACGAGAAUCCUCUCAAGUGUUGACAGUAUGUAUUCACAGUAUCAUAAGUUGUUGUGUUACUUGUACAGUUUAAGUUGAAUGGCAUCUUGCUAAUUUUGGUUUAAUGUUUUUAUAUUGGCUUAGAUCCAACUAUACAGAUUAACUAAAUUAUGCAUUCAGGUUGAUACAUGCAACUACUAUUCCAUAAAAGUAACUAAACAGAUCGUUAUACCUUCUAGAAAGAUCAUAGAAUUACAUGAACACUCUUGGGAAAUCUAACAAAGCAAAUUUCUCCUCGACAGAAAAUCUAGAUUGAUGGGGAGAAUUCCAUGAAGACUGAUAUGAACACUGGAACUGCAAUCGGUGGAGAGAAAAUCAAACGAAGUCUGGAAAGUGUGAAAUGAAGUAUUAAGCUUGUGGGGUCCGGCAGAUUGGACACUUAGCCUUGAUGCUUAGCCACUGAUGGAUACAAUCGGCAUGGAAACAAUGUUGGCAUUCAGGUAGGAACAUUAUUGUGUCCUUUGGAACAUAAUCUGCAAGGCAUAUUGCGCAGGUUACACCGUUCGGUCCUUCAACCCGACGACUUUCACCAAUUGUGAUCUUUUUG